This 1419-nucleotide long non-coding RNA is filed under the name Cricetulus griseus (Chinese hamster). RNAcentral's name for it is "lncRNA (ENSCGRG00000024284.1)". Lineage: Eukaryota; Metazoa; Chordata; Mammalia; Rodentia; Cricetidae. The record is from RNAcentral.
AUCUUGGGCUAGAGGAAGCAGACAAUGCUGUGACACUCACAGCCUUCCUCUGUAUUGCUCCUCAGGCUCCUGAAGACCUGAAGAAAGAUGGUGUCAUUGCUGUGGAAAAAUCUCUGGAGUCAAAGGCCUGGGCGCAGCUCUGGACUCUGCGUAUAACACAUCUACAAUCUGGCAAACCCUUGGCCCAAAGAUUCACACCAGGUGGGCCACAGCAGGCAGGCCUCAGCAGAGCACAGGAUGUGUUCUAACAGCAGCUACCCAAGUGAAGCAUCUGCUGGACCAGUGGGACCUUUGGCUUGGGGGACCUUUCAUUGUCUUUCCAGAGACCCUGCCUUCCUCAGGCCAGCCGUCCUUGGGAGAGAGGAGCCCUCACCAGAACACUGUUGCUGCUGUGGCUAUCUGCUGUUCUUCCCACAGCCUCCUGUGGCCUGGUAGCCAGGCUUCCAAUGCGUUAUACACAGAGUUUGGGUGCACACUGCCCUCCCUCUAAGAUGCCAGAAGUUUUUCCACAGCCUUGGAGAGGGGCUUUGACUGAGGGCUGGGGGCCCUAGGCUCCGUUUCCUUCACAUUCCAGCUGGCCCGGAUCCCUCUGUGGCCAUAAGGCCUUGCCCCCUUCACCCUGCCCUCUGGGUGACAUUGGAGCAGACCUCCACAUGGCCAGCACGGGUUUGGGAGAACUUUACAAACAUUAGGACCUAACACUGUCUCAUCGCUGAAAUAAGAGGCCAUAGCACCGAAAAGCAGCGUGGGCACCGGCUGAGGCUUCUCCCAGCCCGUGGAUGGCAGCAUACUAGACAUGCCUGCCAUUAUCUUAAAGCCAUCCCCCCCAGCCAUUGUGAGCAUCCCAGCAGCACCACCAUUGUCUCAACCAGCCGGCUCCUCGUCUGUACACCUGGGGAUUUCUUUUGAUUUCAAGAACAGCCUUAAUCAUUCCAGUUUGAUUUACAUGUAUACCUCAUGAACAUUUUUUUUGUUUUAUUUUUCUUUCUCUCCCUUUCUUUUCUUUGCUUUUAUCCCUUUGUGUCCCCCCUCCACCACCUUGUGACUGAUGGUUUGGUUUCCUCUCUGCUCUGCCCCUGCUCAGCACAGGGAGAAAUGUUGAUUUAGAAGCAAUAGCAGGCAGCAGGCCACCAAGAGCACAAACCCAGGGCGAGGUCUAGGGAGGCCCCUCAGCCCGCCUGUUUACUGUGCAAUUCCAGUCCUUCUUAAGCCAUCAGCAGUGGGUGUGCUCAGAGCAGAGAACUUCUGCACCGGCCAAGGGAAAGGCUCAGAGCCUUGUAGGGUAAGGGGAGUGUGACUCUUGUCCAUUCACCUGGUGGACUGGGCUGCAUGCCUCCCCAAAGCCCUUCCCUUGGAGGCCUCCCUUCAUCUUGGGCACAGCCACAAGUCUCAUCUCUAAUGUUCUAUGCAAUGAAAUAU